Molecule: ribosomal RNA, 350 nt
Filed under: uncultured Pseudomonas sp.
Lineage: Bacteria; Pseudomonadati; Pseudomonadota; Gammaproteobacteria; Pseudomonadales; Pseudomonadaceae
Description: bacterial SSU rRNA
Rfam family: Bacterial small subunit ribosomal RNA
Source: RNAcentral
GGAUUGGUAGUCCGUACGAGCGCACCCUUGUCCUUAGUUACCAGCACGUUAAGGUGGGCACUCUAAGGAGACUGCCGGUGACAAACCGGAGGAAGGUGGGGAUGACGUCAAGUCAUCAUGGCCCUUACGGCCUGGGCUACACACGUGCUACAAUGGUCGGUACAAAGGGUUGCCAAGCCGCGAGGUGGAGCUAAUCCCAUAAAACCGAUCGUAGUCCGGAUCGCAGUCUGCAACUCGACUGCGUGAAGUCGGAAUCGCUAGUAAUCGUGAAUCAGAAUGUCACGGUGAAUACGUUCCCGGGCCUUGUACACACCGCCCGUGGGGCGGGGGCGGCGGGCCGGGCGCGGGGC